GUCUGCCUACGGGACGCAGCAGUGGGGGAUACUGCACAAUGGGGGAAACCCUGAUGCAGCGACGCCGCGUGUGGGAAGACGGUCCUCUGGAUUGUAAACCACUGUCCCCAGGGACGAAGAUGAUGGUACCCCGCCAGAAAGUCACGGCUAACCACGUGCCAGCAGCCGCGGUAAUACGUAGGUGGCGAGCGUUAUCCGGAAUGAUUGGGCGUAAAGGGUGCGCAGGCGGCGCGUCAAGUCUGAAGUAAAAGGUACAGGCUCAACCUGUGCAGGCUUUGGAAACUGGCGCGCUCGAGGACAGGAGG
RNAcentral lists this ribosomal RNA (305 nucleotides) under uncultured bacterium. Its description in RNAcentral is "bacterial SSU rRNA". It matches the Rfam family "Bacterial small subunit ribosomal RNA", at positions 333 to 655 of the family's 1533-position model. The record is from RNAcentral.